AACAUACAAUUAUCAUUAAUCAAUCAAACGCUAAUUACCAACCAGAAAGAAGCAUCGAAAAGUUAAAAGAAGCAUUAACAAUUGCUCUACCAACAGUAUCACUGGAUCACUUUUUAUAAUUAGAAAAUUUAUUAAUGGAUUCUCCAGAACAAAGAAGCAUUGAUGGCUUUGUUCCGUGUACUUAUUACUAAACAAUCCAAUUUGAAAGAAAGCAUUGCCAAAGUAAUGAGUUCAAUAAUGACGAAGGCAGUAGAAUUAAAAUAUUCGGGAACAGGAAAAAUAAUUAAUGGACAGUCCAAAAGAGAGAAACUUUAGCAGUACUAAUUCGUACAUAUGUUUAAGAGAUAUUUUAAUAGAAAAAUUUGGAAAUAGUGUGGAUUUAAAGAAGUUGCCAGGUCAGGUGGGAUUAUGGUUAUCACGAGCUAGAGACUGUGAAGGAGGCAGAAAAGAACGAAACAAAAAUAAUUAAAAAUAAAACCUUAAAAUUUAUUUAAAAUAUUAAGUCAAAAUUAAAGUUUAAAAUUUGUUACCACUUUUCCAUUUAAUAUAUCUUUGAUAUGUAUAUACGUACAAAUACAUUAUUUCUUUAUACAAAAUUAUUUUUAAUAUAAAAAUUAUUAAGUUCGGUUACAUUUAAA
Odontomachus brunneus is the source of this 638-nucleotide long non-coding RNA. RefSeq lists it as uncharacterized. The transcript has 3 exons. The record is from RefSeq and is a predicted model, not a curated record. Lineage: Eukaryota; Metazoa; Arthropoda; Insecta; Hymenoptera; Formicidae.